RNAcentral lists this long non-coding RNA (280 nucleotides) under Phaseolus vulgaris (common bean). RNAcentral describes it as "long non-coding RNA (PVUL_LNC000998)". The record is from RNAcentral. Lineage: Eukaryota; Viridiplantae; Streptophyta; Magnoliopsida; Fabales; Fabaceae.
GAGAAGUUUAUCGUUUUGCAUAAUAUAGGUUCAAUUUGUGAGCUGUAUAACAAAAGCAGUAAUUGUUAAAGUAACUCUAUACCUGCUGUACCGGACGAUCGUGACGUGCACAUUAAAUAAAUAAACAUAGUUACACGUGGAAAAUAAACAGUUAUAACUUCCAUUGAAUGAGUCAAACACAUUUUGUAUAGCACUCCCUUGAUAUCAGGAAGCCACCAGACAUGACCCAGAGACCACUAAGCAUGUCUUUAGCAUUCGGUUACUUGGCCCACACAGCCAA